RNAcentral lists this ribosomal RNA (2770 nucleotides) under soil metagenome. Its description in RNAcentral is "bacterial LSU rRNA". The stretch from base 2 to 2189 matches the Rfam family "Bacterial large subunit ribosomal RNA", at positions 15 to 2044 of the family's 2925-position model. The record is from RNAcentral.
AGAGUCAACGGCGGAUGCCUUGGCGCCUGAAGCCGAAGAAGGACGUGGGAGGCUGCGAUAAGCCACGGGGAGCUGCCUACCAAGCGCGGAUCCGUGGAUGUCCGAAUGGGGAAACCCGGCACCCGUCAUGGGGUGUCACCCUGGUCUGAACGCAUAGGACCAGUGGAGGGAACCGGGGGAAUUGAAACAUCUCAGUACCCCGAGGAGAGGAAAACAACAGUGACUCCCUGAGUAGCGGCGAGCGAAACGGGAUGAGCCUAAACCGAGUUGGUGUUAAAGCCUGAUGGCGUUGCCAAUUCGGGGUUGUGGGAGCCGAUAGAAGGUGCAUCAGAACCUUCACGGAGUUACAAAACCAAUUGCUUAGUGGAAGCAUCCAGGAAAGAUGCGCCGCAGAGGGUAACAGCCCCGUACACGAAAAGCAUUGGACUCCGAUCGGAUUUCCCGAGUAGCGCCGGAUCCGGGAAAGCCGGCGUGAAUCUGCGAGGACCACCUCGUAAGGCUAAGUACUCACAGGCGACCGAUAGUGAACUAGUACCGUGAGGGAAAGGUGAAAAGUACCCCGGGAGGGGAGUGAAAUAGUACCUGAAACCGUUGGCUUACAAACAGUCAGAGCGUCGUCGGCACUUUGUGCCGGCCGUGAUGGCGUGCCUUUUGAAGAAUGAGCCAACGAGUUACGGUGUGUGGCGAGGUUAACCCGAGAGGGGUAGCCGAAGCGAAAGCGAGUCUGAAUAGGGCGUUGAGUCGCAUGCUGUAGACCCGAAGCCGAGUGAGCUAGCCAUGGGCAGGCUGAAGCGGGGGUAAGACCCCGUGGAGGGCCGAACCCACCCUGGUUGAAAACAGGGGGGAUGACCUGUGGUUAGGGGUGAAAGGCCAAUCAAACUCGGUGAUAGCUGGUUCUCCCCGAAAUGCAUUUAGGUGCAGCGUCGGGCGUUCAGCAUCGGAGGUAGAGCACUGAAUGGGCAAGGGGGCCUACAAGCUUACUGACCCCAAUCAAACUCCGAAUGCCGAUGCUUUAGAGCCUGGCAGUGAGACUACGAGGGAUGAGCUUCGUUAGUCGAGAGGGAAACAGCCCAGACCGCCAGCUAAGGCCCCUAAUUUUUGACUAAGUGGAAAACGAUGUGGGAACGCGAAGACAGCCAGGAGGUUGGCUCAGAAGCAGCCAUCCUUAAAAGAGUGCGUAAUAGCUCACUGGUCGAGUGGUCCUGCGCGGACAAUGUAACGGGGCUCAAGUCAAAAGCCGAAGCUGCGGAUUUCCAUUCCGCCUGAAUUUCGAUUCGGGAGUGACGGAGUGGGAGUGGUAGGGGAGCGUCGAUCCUGCUGAGAAGCGGCGGUGGAAACCGUCGUGGAGCGUGGUCGAGUGAGAAUGUUGGUAUGAGUAGCGAGAGAGGGGUGAGAAACCCCUCCGCCGUAAGCCCAAGGGUUCCUGGGGAAGGCUAAUCCUCCCAGGGUAAGUCGGGAGCUAAGGCGAGGCCGAGAGGCGUAGUCGAUGCACAACUGGUUGAUAUUCCAGUACUUCCGUGUCCGCGCCCAUUCCAAUACCGGUGUCCUAAGGGGCUGUCCUUCGGGGCGAACCGACCGACCCGGUGGCGGAAAGCGAAGGAGGGACGCAGGAGGGUAGGUGAGCCCAGGCGUUGGUUGUCCUGGGGUAAGCGUGUAGGGAGGGGUCUAGGCAAAUCCGGACCCCGUGAAUCCCGAGACGCGAUGCCGAGCCGAUUAGGCGAAGUCACUAAUCCCAUGCUGCCGAGAAAAGCCUCUAGCGAGCUGGCACGGUGCCCGUACCCCAAACCGACACAGGUGGGCGGGUAGAGAAUACCAAGGCGAUCGGGAGAACUGUGGUUAAGGAACUCGGCAAAAUUCCUCCGUAACUUCGGGAGAAGGAGGGCCUCGAUAGGGUGAUGGACCUAGCGUCCUGAUGCCUGAGGGGGCCGCAGUGAAUUGGGGAAAGCGACUGUUUACUAAAAACACAGGAGCGUGCGAAGUCGUAAGACGAUGUAUACGCUCUGACGCCUGCCCGGUGCCGGAAGGUUACGGGGAAGGGUUAGCCCUCGGGCGAAGCUCUGAACCUAAGCCCCGGUAAACGGCGGCCGUAACUAUAACGGUUAGUACUCUAACCUGGCCGUUAGAAAACCCUGCUAUAUGCUGGAACAUCCGAGUAUCCGGUGGUACUAACCCUUGUCACACCCACUUCGUAGGGUGCCGACAUGGGAAGUGAAAAUCCAUCCGGUGCGGACAAUCAGCAGGAAACUGCCAGUCCCUGUCUUGUGCUCGAUCCCAACUGGCUUGCCGGUUUCGUGGAUGGUGAAGGUUCCUUCACCGUGUCGGUUCAUCGCAGUUCGACGAUGCACCGACACGGUGGCUGGCAACUGCAGCCGGCGUUCCACGUCUACCAGCACCAGGACCAUCGAGAGGUUCUCGAAGCGAUGGUUCCGACCUUCGGCUGCGGGCGAAUUCGCUCGAAAGGCCCAAGGAGCAGCGUCUUGACCUACACGGUCGAGUAGCUCCGGAACCUGGAAACGGCUGUACUUCCGUUCUUCGAGACGUAUCCUCUCGUCGUGAAAUGUGCCGACUUCACUGCAUUUGCCGCCAUCGUGCGGUCGAUGCGGCGAAAGGAGCAUCUGACGAGGUCGGGGUUCGAGCACCUGGUGCGACUUGCGUAUGGCAUGAACGCCAAUGGCAAGCAACGCUCCAGGAGCAUUGACCUGGUACUGGCAGGAUCCUCAGAGACUGCACGCGGGGCUCUCCGUUCGUAGUCACUCCAGUUCCCACUGGG